ACGUUGUCUCCUAGCAGCCAUGUCUUCAGCAUGGCUUCUUUUCAAGUCAGCUAGGGCUUCAUUAUCAUUGAUGGCCCCAUUAAAUAAGGCCUACUUUCCAUGUGGCCGACCACAACUGCAUUGAUAGAGAGCUCUAUUAUCUAUUGGAGAGUGUAGCCAAUCAAAAUCUGGCCCAUUUAAUUCGAUGGCCUUUCCUUUGUAUUUUUCC
Molecule: long non-coding RNA, 208 nt
Filed under: Sorghum bicolor (sorghum)
Lineage: Eukaryota; Viridiplantae; Streptophyta; Magnoliopsida; Poales; Poaceae
Description: long non-coding RNA (SBIC_LNC000524)
Source: RNAcentral